RNAcentral lists this ribosomal RNA (506 nucleotides) under uncultured bacterium. RNAcentral describes it as "bacterial SSU rRNA". It matches the Rfam family "Bacterial small subunit ribosomal RNA", at positions 21 to 518 of the family's 1533-position model. The record is from RNAcentral.
GGCUCAGAACGAACGCUGGCGGCGCGUUUAAGCAUGCAAGUCGAGCGGCAAGGGCCUUCGGGCCCCUAGAGCGGCGGACGGGUGAGUAACACGUGGACAAGUCUGCCCCCCGGCCCGGGAUAGCCCAGGGAAACCUGGAUUAAUACCGGAUGAGACGGGACCCGCGAUGGCGGGAUCCGGGAAAGGCGCUGCGGCGCCGCCGGGGGAUGAGUCUGCGUCCCAUUAGCUAGACGGCGGGGUAACGGCCCACCGUGGCGACGAUGGGUAGCCGGCCUGAGAGGGUGGACGGCCACAUUGGAACUGAGACACGGUCCAGACUCCUACGGGAGGCAGCAGCUAAGAAUCUUCCGCAAUGGGCGAAAGCCUGACGGAGCCGACGCCGCGUGAACGAAGAAGGCCGUGAGGUUGUAAAGUUCUUUCGGGAGGGGAACAACCGUGGCAGGGAAUGGCCGCGGGAUGACGUGAAUCCCGGAAUAAGCCCCGGCUAACUACGUGCCAGCAGCCGC